This 802-nucleotide ribosomal RNA is filed under the name Homoeometamelus sp. BHJ-2011. Its description in RNAcentral is "eukaryotic LSU rRNA". It matches the Rfam family "Eukaryotic large subunit ribosomal RNA", at positions 407 to 944 of the family's 3401-position model. Lineage: Eukaryota; Metazoa; Arthropoda; Insecta; Coleoptera; Curculionidae. The record is from RNAcentral.
GUUUAGGGGUAAACCUGAGAAACCCGAAAGGUCGAAGAGAGAAAUUCAUCGCGGUUUCGUGGCAGGCGUCGCACGGUGUCGAGCUACGGAUCUCUGUCGGAGUUUAUUCUUCGGCGUGAUUCGUACCCGCCGUACGUUCUGUCCGGUCGCGAACGCGUGCACUUUUCUCUUGGUAGGACGUUGCGAUCCGUUCGGUGUCGGUCUACGGCACGCGGUGGAGCCCGUUUGCGCUCGCGUUUAUUCGCGUGCGUCGGCGGACCCGCGUUGUCCCGGCCGACUCGCCAGACGGUAUAAGAAAGAUCGCGGGCCGCCCCCUAAAAAGGCGUUCGACUCGCGACAAGCGCGCCGGUUUCGGUCGGUGAUCGGACCCAGUGCCGAUUCUGACCGCCGGUGACUGUUGGUCGUCGAAGUUCUCGAACAGCGCCCUCAGAUCGAUCUGCGACGCUAUAGCUUUGGGUACUUUCAGGACCCGUCUUGAAACACGGACCAAGGAGUCUAGCAUGUGCGCGAGUCAUUGGGACAAACUCGAAACCUAAAGGCACAGUGAAAGUAAAAAUUCUCCUCGCGAGAAUUUAGGGAAGACGGGUGUAACGGUUCGGCCGCCGCCUCGCAUUCCCGGGGCGUCUCGUUCUCAUUGCGAGAUGAGGCGCACCAAGAGCGUACACGCUGGGACCCGAAAGAUGGUGAACUAUGCCUGGUCAGGACGAAGUCAGGGGAAACCCUGAUGGAGGUCCGUAGCGAUUCUGACGUGCAAAUCGAUCGUCGGAACUGGGUAUAGGGGCGAAAGACUAAUCGAACCAUC